RNAcentral lists this ribosomal RNA (505 nucleotides) under uncultured marine eukaryote. RNAcentral describes it as "SSU rRNA". It matches the Rfam family "Eukaryotic small subunit ribosomal RNA", at positions 1 to 509 of the family's 1831-position model. The record is from RNAcentral.
AACCUGGUUGAUCCUGCCAGUAGUCAUAUGCUUGUCUCAAAGAUUAAGCCAUGCAUGUCUAAGUAUAAACUGCUUUAUACUGUGAAACUGCGAAUGGCUCAUUAAAUCAGUUAUAGUUUAUUUGAUGGUACUUACUUACUCGGAUACCCGUAGUAAUUCUAGAGCUAAUACGUGCGUACAUCCCGACUUCUGGAAGGGACGUAUUUAUUAGAUAAAAGGCCGACCGGGCUUGCCCGACUCGCGGUGACUCAUGAUAACUUCACGAAUCGCAUGGCCUUGUGCCGGCGAUGUUUCAUUCAAAUUUCUGCCCUAUCAACUUUUGAUGGUAGGAUAGAGGCCUACCAUGGUGGUAACGGGUGACGGAGAACUAGGGUUCGAUUCCGGAGAGGGAGCCUGAGAAACGGCUACCACAUCCAAGGAAGGCAGCAGGCGCGCAAAUUACCCAAUCCUGACACAGGGAGGUAAGUGACAAUAAAUAACAAUACCGGGCCUUUGGUCUGGUAAU